CAGUGGUGGCCUGUUGGUUAAGGAAGUUAAGUGCCACAUGCUCUCUAAGGUGAUGAGUUAAAGCCAUGACCCCCCAUAGGGGGCAGAAGCCCCCCUCCAAAUUGAAAUACUGUUGAGCCUGGUAAUAUUUCUCUGUAGAAACCACUGUAUGAGUUCCUAGCACCAUGAGCUGCAACACUGCCAUCUAGUGACUUGAGGCCUGUUUAGCAUUGAUAAAUUAUCGGUGGGGCGAGAUUAUCGGACAUCCCUAGUAUUAACCUGUAAAUGAUGACUUGGAGAGAUUGAAAAAAAAAAAAAGAAAAUUGUUGUUUCUAAAAAAAGAAAAGAGUGAAAAGCUCUGUACGUGGUAUAUCUACACCAGCUAAAAAAAGGCCGGUAAGACAAGGAUUAGUGGAGGCGGUGUUAAGACGUGUCUGCUGUGACAUCACUGUGAGAACGGAGUAAGCUGUCUUCAGAUAUGGACAGAUAAAGCAUGGAGCCUUAUCUAUUCUCACCACCUCCACUGCUGGAACUGUUCAGAGUCACAGAACGUGCUGCACACUUCACCUCCGUGUGUGUUACGUACCGGCCAUAACAAGGGCAGACACCACGUCGCUGCGUCCAGUCAUGGCUGCUUUGAUGAGGGCAGUGAAACCACGACAGUCCUUCACCUCCAGAGCAGUGUUGCCUUCGUUGUCCUGGUGGUUUAUGUCGAUGAAAGGACAACUGUGGAGCCCGUAAACAACUUCCACAAAACCUUUGCAGCACGCCACCAUCAGGCCAUUCUGUUUGAAAUUACAAUUAUUAUUUCUGUAUUUAUUUAUUUCUGUAUUUAGUGGUGAUCACUCACCCAGCCGUUGAUGUCCAGCUCCAUGACCUCCUCCUUUGUCACCCCUCUCUCCAGAACCCUCCGUAAAGAGAAGACUUCGUUACGAGCACAGGCUGAAUACAGAGUGGAACCUGCUGCACACCUGUCUUUCGUCUCUGGUGUGUAGACUGGAAGCACGGAGUCGUCAGAGAGGAUGCUGUCAGAGUCAGAGUCAGACUCAGACUCAGACUCAUCGCCUGCCGGAUGAAUUCCGUCUCCACUGGGCCCUGAGCCCAGGUAUCGGUCGUCUGCUGCGGAGGCCAUCUGACCGUGGGGAAAACAGCUAAGAUUCCUCUCAAUGCCAGAGGAACAUUACUGUUGAACGACAACAAUCAGGACACGGGGACACAGUUGAAGUGGGACACAGAGGACAGUGGGAGGACUGCAGCAUGUAAAGCAGAAUCCUACUCCGUGGCAGGCAGUGACGGUAACAUCAGCCCA
Molecule: long non-coding RNA, 1288 nt
Organism: Cynoglossus semilaevis (tongue sole)
Lineage: Eukaryota; Metazoa; Chordata; Actinopteri; Pleuronectiformes; Cynoglossidae
Exons: 5
Source: RefSeq, a predicted model, not a curated record